UUUUUUGUUACAUUUCUAAUUAAUCUCAUUUCUUUUAUAACUCCUGGUGGACUAAGCUUGUAACAUAUAUUGCAUGUCUUAUUAAAGAUAAGUAAUGUCUCAAGUUUUCGAACUUCAUGAAUGAAAAAUAAAAUUGUUGAAGAGAACCAUCCUUAGAGGUUGUCAGGUGGUCCAUUUAGUUUUUUUUAACAAAAUUAAUAUUCUCUCCGAACUCAAUCAUAAACAAUAAUUAAAAAAAAAUUGAUACACUCAAAUAUAAGUAAAUUUUAAUCACUUUUAUCUUAUUUAUUGAUGUUAUCUCAAAAAUGCUCUUCAAUUAAUAGAGAAACUAUUUCCAAUUUUUUUUGACAAAAAUUGUAAUUACUCUUUCUUAUUAUUGUUAUCAAGUUUCAAUUAAGGACAUUUUAAAAAAAAAUUAAAUGUAAUUAAUAAAAUUAAAUAAUAUUUACUGAAUUUAUUAAUUAACACAAAGUUGAUUAAUUUUAAGUUGAAUAACAAUUUUGGUUUCCCUAAUUUUUUAAAUCCAUAAUUUUGGUCCCUUGAUUUUUAAUUGUAACAUUUGAUCUCUUUAGUUUUAUAAAUUUGUGAGUUUGAUUCCCCUGAUAAAUUAUUAACUAAUAAUUGUGAUUAUUAGAAAUAUUAAAUUAAUUAUAAAUUAUAUAAAAGUUAUUAAUCAUUAAAAAAAACUUUAAUAAAAGACUAUUAAUCUUAAUGUGUUGUUGAACACAAUAUAUGUAGAAGAGGUAUUUGCAAAAGAGGAGGAGGAACACAAUAUUGUUGAACAUUAGGAUUAAUAUUUUUAUUUAAUUUUUUAAUAAUUAAUAAUUUGAUUAAUUUAUAAUUAACUUAAUAAUUCAAUUAAUCAAAAUUAUUUGUUAAUAAUAUAUAAGAGAAUCAAAAUCACCAAUUUAUAAAACUAGAAGAUCAAAUAUUAUAAUUAAAAUUCAAGGAAACAAAAGAUUAUGAAUUUAAAAAAUUACAGAACCAAAAUUGUAAUUUAGCCUUAAUUUUACUUAUAGCUAAUGAGUGCAAGGAAGUAUAACAUUGUAAAAAAAAAAGAUUUUUUUGACAAAAAGUAUAAACUUACAAUUAAAAUUUUUUAGAAUUCAUUACUAAGAUCCUAAUUUUAAUUAAUGAAAACAUUUAAAAUAGUUGAGGGUUAUAUAUCCAAAGUUUCAUGAGUGAGAUAGGUGAAUAUGACUCAGAUUGUAGAGAGUGAAAAGGAGAGGAUGAGAAACCAGUUCAUAGAUGAAAGAAGCGACAACAAUGGUCCAAAAUCGGCCAGCAAAGGAGUCAGCAAUGAGAGCUCCAAAGAGAGGAGUGAAGCUAGAAGUUCCAUUAAAGUUGGUGAGCGUGACUGAGGCAGAUACCAAUGGCAUGUUCAGCUGCUGAGUGACCGUAGCUUAUCAUGUUUGC
Molecule: long non-coding RNA, 1416 nt
Filed under: Glycine max (soybean)
Lineage: Eukaryota; Viridiplantae; Streptophyta; Magnoliopsida; Fabales; Fabaceae
Description: long non-coding RNA (GMAX_LNC000625)
Source: RNAcentral